CAUACCCCUAGAGGUACUGGGACUGCUGUAUCAAAAAGUACAUCAAUAGGUGGCAGUGAGGAAGGAGAUUAGGUCUAUGCUUAGUGUUCUGACUGGUGGAAAUCUAAUUGAUAGUUAGUCAAACACU
Molecule: small nucleolar RNA, 127 nt
Organism: Rattus norvegicus (Norway rat)
Lineage: Eukaryota; Metazoa; Chordata; Mammalia; Rodentia; Muridae
Product: small nucleolar RNA SNORA17
Source: Ensembl